UGCAGAGUGACUACCUACAUAAUGUAGGUAGGUAAUGCAACCACAAGACGGUCACAAGUCCGU
Molecule: non-coding RNA, 63 nt
Filed under: unclassified sequences
Source: RNAcentral